RNAcentral lists this ribosomal RNA (429 nucleotides) under Gemmatimonadota bacterium. RNAcentral describes it as "Gemmatimonadetes bacterium partial 16S ribosomal RNA". It matches the Rfam family "Bacterial small subunit ribosomal RNA", at positions 355 to 776 of the family's 1533-position model. The record is from RNAcentral. Lineage: Bacteria; Pseudomonadati; Gemmatimonadota.
UAGGGAAUCUUCGGCAAUGGACGAAAGUCUGACCGAGCAACGCCGCGUGAGUGAAGAAGGUUUUCGGAUCGUAAAACUCUGUUGUUAGAGAAGAACAAGGACGUUAGUAACUGAACGUCCCCUGACGGUAUCUAACCAGAAAGCCACGGCUAACUACGUGACAGCAGCCGCGGUAAUACGCAGGUGGCAAGCGUUGUCCGGAUUUAUUGGGCGUAAAGCGAGCGCAGGCGGUUUCUUAAGUCUGAUGUGAAAGCCCCCGGCUCAACCGGGGAGGGUCAGUGGAAACUGGGAGGCUUGAGUGCAGAAGAGGAGAGUGGAAUUCCAUGUGUAGCGGUGAAAUGCGGAGAUAUAUGGGGGAACACCAGUGGCGAAGGCGGCUCUCUGGUCUGUAACUGACGCUGGGGCUCGAAAGCGUGGGGAGCAAACAGG